UUUCAUCAUGGCGUCUCGUGUGACAGACGGUCCUGUGGUCUGUCGUGGCGGUAGAUCGCAACUUUAAGCAAAUGGCGUUGCGGUUUGUAAUGACGGGACUACUGUAAUUUCAUUGGUUGAAAUACUAUUGUAAUUCAUAUUGAAUUGUACAUGCAUUCUACGAAUGUCUGUAACAUCGGUUGCAUAUUGAGUUUUUGUUAACUCUUAAAUGAAUGUUCCUUCAAAAUAAAAUUUGUAAAAAUUUUAAUUUUUGUGUAUGUAAAUUAUUCUUAUUUAUUAAAAAAUGGUUCUUUUGUCAGAUUACACAGGCCAACAUGGUAAAUGAAAUGCGGGCAGUUCAGCUACUUAUUGGCGGAAAUGGUCGUGGAGUGUUUUUGCCGACGAAGUUUCAGCAUAAAUGUUAAUCAGAGUUAAAUGGCAUCUUGACAUCUUCUGUAUGAUGAAGACGUGCUCUAUGGCCAUUGUUCCUUAAUGGGUAUAUAUGACUUCUGGCAGUACUGGCUCACUGAAAGCAACGUUAUUGGUGCCUUGUGGAUGAAGUAAGGUGGAGUGUGAAACUGCACCAGCAUCAUGUACAUCUACAAGCACAAAUAUUCUCCAGUUUGUGGAUCGUUUAUUGAUGGCUAUAGGAUUUUUGUCACAUUUUUUCCAGUGAAUCGUGUGAGAGGCAGGGUUUUGUAAUGAUCCCAUGGAUUCUAAUGCAGGAAGCCAUAAUUUCUGUGAAAACUGGUGGAUGCUCAUUGAAUUCUAUAAGGAAACACACAUGGUCCUGUUGAUUGGCUAUUUCAGAAGAAUGAGUAAUUGGUGCAGCCAACUAAUACAAGAAAUCACCAUUGAGAGCAAUACCACCUCAGUAUUGCAGUUCUCAUUUGUCUGAAACGGGAAGAAUGAAAUGGCUUCUAUUUGGCCAUCUUCCAUCUUAUCAUACUUAUUUCUCAGUGAUUUUCAUCUCUUUGGAUGUGAAGAGUUACCAGCUGUGGAAGAAUUUGCACAAUUUGUUGCUUUAAUGUUUGCAGUUACAAUUUUGGGAGACAUCAUUACAAGUUACUGACAUAAGCCCUGGUGGCUGAAUGGACAUGACAGUCUAAGGAACCUCUGUGGAAAUUACUGUUGUCCAAAAGGUAUGUUUACUGAGUCUUUCACAAAUUUGUUGCUGUUGUGUCACAGUGUAGCAAAGACAAGCCUCAUUUUGAGACAAAAAUCAGUACUUUUAUCAGAUUAAUUUGUUUUUACUUUUGAAUACAUUGUGGGAGUGAACAAUGAUCAAUGUUGUUACAGAUAUUUACUAUCAAAAACAGUCUUGAUCACAAAUUAUUUAUUCUGAUGACUGGUUUUGACUAAAACUGUGGUCAUCUUCAGACCAAUGAGUAAGAAUCUCCUUCUGAUGGUAAAUCACUACGCUCUGAUAUACCAUCAGAAGGAGGUUCUUACUCAUUGGUCUCAAGAUGACCACAGUUGUGGUCGAAACCGGUCACCAGAAUAAAUAAUUUGUGAUUAAGACUGUUUUUGAUAGUAAAUAAUUUUUUUUGCCUGCUGCUUUGACAGUUUAUUUCAUAAUUUUUCCGACGAACACAUUAUUUCAUUGUACUAAAGUGUGCCAAUUAAUAGGGAAAAGCUCAUAUUUUACAAGGAAUUGAAGUUGGUUACCUGUAACAAAGUUUCAGCCCAAUUGUUGGACUCCUUGUGGACUACUGCUGCCUUGACUGUGAACGAUAGUUGUAGGUCCUCCCUCCAGUUCAGUUGAGUACUUGUAUGUGUAGCAACGUGUGCUAUUUCUGUAUUCUCGUGAGGAAAACUAAAAUGGAUAUUUCACCCAAUAAGUGGCAAAAAUACUUGCCCUUCAUGAACAAGCAUUUGUGAUUGUAGGAGUCAUUGCUUCUGUUGUUGGUGUGGAGAAAGUCUAGUGUUUAAGGGGUUACUAGGUCAUACAGUGGUACUACCUAAUUGUCUCCAAAGAGAAAAGGCAGAUGUGGAUGAAAACAAAAAACCAUUUCUAGAACUGGUUGAAACUGAGUCUUUAAUGGUACAGCGUUGGCUUCUUGAUUGUGUGUCAAAGGUGCAAAAGCCAGUAAAGUAGCAGUUGUUAAAACCUUGAAGAAGAAAAUUUUGGCAUGGGCCAAAUUAUAAAACUCAUGGACCUCCAGUAAUUUGAAAGUGUAAUUUCAUUGUUGAACCCCACUUUGUUGAAGGAUACAGAGCAAGGGUUGUCAGGUGAAGCACAUGUGGGACAAUGAGCUGAGCAUCUGGAACAGACUGUAAAAUACCCUCCCAAAAGAAAUGUUUAGAGGUUUCUUCAUGGCAUGUGGCCCUGGGGCACUAGUUCCAGUUGAUAGCAUGGAAAUCCUUAGCACAGGAUUGUACCAUUCCUACUGACCUUCGCAGGUGGUUAAGGAAAAUUUCAACAUGAGCUAGUGCUGUGCCAUACUUAUAAAGCACUCAGGACUUUCAUGGAAGAAAACAUUAAUGGUGUUUCAUUGACCUGGUAAUUCACCACACAUCAGUCCCAUCAAGAGUCUGUGGAGUAUUGUCAAAGGGCAUCUUGGUAAAAUAGACUGUACAGCAAAAGUAUGCAUAUUAGUAAAUGUAGUGAAAGCGUAGUUUCUAGACAGUGUGUACAAAAAAUGUACUCUAACCUAGUCAAAUCCUUGCUUCAGCAGAUUCAGAAGCUCAUUAAAACAAAAGGAGCACAAAUUAGUUAUUAACAUUCAGUAAGCUACUACUGCAUUACACAUAUAGUAUAAAUGGGCACAAUUAAAAGUUUUUCUUGUCCCAAUUAAUUUGCACACUGUUGUACACUGCCUGACAAGAGUGAACCACAUAGAAGGAGAGGAGGAAACAAAAUGAUGCUUCAUGGAUUGAGAGGGAAUGUGAUGCUAUUUCAGUGAUUACUAAAUUAAGUCAAAUUUAGAAAGAACUGGGCAAUAUGAGCCCACUUCUUAGUAUUGUAUUGCCUCUGGACUAGAUGCAUACACUAUUUUGGUUGGGAAGAGUGUCAUGAAGCUGUUGUAUGCUCUCCUGAGGCAAGCUGGCCCACAACUGUUGUAGCUGAUCCCUGAUAUACUGGAAACCGACACUGAGAUGGAGGUGAUGUCUGAGCUGGUCCAACACUUUUUCUAUCGGGAGCAGGGUUGAAGAUCUUGGUGGCCAUGGGAGUAUGUCAGCAUCAUGCACACAGUUCAUGAAUAUGUGUUGUGUGUGGAUAAACAUAGUCCAUUCAAAAAUGACACCACAAUACUAUCCUGAGAGGUAAUAUGACAAACAAGGCAGGGCAUCUCCAGAUCACUGGAUGAAUGGCGCCUCUUUCUGGGAUGCCGAGAAAUGUCAUCCAGUUAGGGCACAACCACAAUUAAUCGCUGAACAGUGCAACACCAUUUAUCAGCAGUCUGUGCUGGCCAGUCAUAACCCCGAGCCCAAAUUUUGCCAUUUGUGUUGUUUCCAACAGGCUAUACAUGGAGUAAUAAUUCCCUAGUCCACCUGCUACUAGCCUCCGACCAAUGGUGCAGGAAAAUGUAGAAUGUUGCAGGCAGACCACUACUUGUUUUCGUAAACAGGUGGCAAAGGGUUUAUGAUGUGCCUGGUUCACAAUACAGCAGUCCUCCCUUGUGACAGAUGUGGUAGAUGGUAACUUUGAUGACAAAUAUAGUUGGUCUUUUGUUCUUGUUUGGACAUUAUUGGACCACUGUCACAUCUUGACGCCCCACAAAUCUGGCCCAACAGAGACCUACAAUGAACCCCUUUCAAACUCUGUCAGGUGUUGAUAAUGCUGUCUGACAUUAGUGUGGGGCAUCUGUGCCCUUCAUAAUGACUGCUCAGCAUCUGAUGGUGUUCAGCUUAUAUAACCUACCAGGCAUGGUAACAGCAGUAAAAAUGAACAAAACUAAUGCACUCUGAAUGUUCUACGUCCCACAGAGAGAUCAACUCAAGUCACUUAAAUACACUACUGGCCAUUAAAAUUGGUACACCACGAAGAUGACAUGCUACAGACGCGAAAUUUAACCGAUAGGAAGAAGAUGCUGUGAUAUGCAAAUGACUAGCUUUUCAGGGCAUUCACA
This is a long non-coding RNA of Schistocerca piceifrons (Central American locust), 4052 nucleotides long. RefSeq lists it as uncharacterized. The transcript is spliced from 6 exons. Lineage: Eukaryota; Metazoa; Arthropoda; Insecta; Orthoptera; Acrididae. The record is from RefSeq and is a predicted model, not a curated record.